ACGGAGGAUGCGAGCGUUAUCCGGAUUUAUUGGGUUUAAAGGGUGCGUAGGCGGAUUAAUAAGUCAGUGGUGAAAACCUUCAGCUUAACUGGAGACUUGCCAUUGAUACUGUUAGUCUUGAGUACGGUCAAGGUAGGCGGAAUGUGUAAUGUAGCGGUGAAAUGCUUAGAUAUUACGCGGAACACCGAUUGCGAAGGCAGCCUACUGGGCCGCAACUGACGCUGAUACGCGAAAGCGUGGGGAGCGAACAG
Molecule: ribosomal RNA, 251 nt
Filed under: uncultured prokaryote
Description: partial 16S rRNA
Rfam family: Bacterial small subunit ribosomal RNA
Source: RNAcentral